GCCCGGAUGGCGGAAUGGCAGACGCGGCGGUCUCAAAAACCGCUACCGAAAGGUGUGCGGGUUCGACUCCCGCUCCGGGCACCA
Molecule: transfer RNA, 84 nt
Filed under: Eggerthellaceae bacterium
Lineage: Bacteria; Bacillati; Actinomycetota; Coriobacteriia; Eggerthellales; Eggerthellaceae
Also listed under: 2 other names
Description: tRNA-Leu
Rfam family: tRNA
About the family: Transfer RNA (tRNA) molecules are approximately 80 nucleotides in length. Their secondary structure includes four short double-helical elements and three loops (D, anti-codon, and T loops). Further hydrogen bonds mediate the characteristic L-shaped molecular structure. tRNAs have two regions of fundamental functional importance: the anti-codon, which is responsible for specific mRNA codon recognition, and the 3' end, to which the tRNAs corresponding amino acid is attached (by aminoacyl-tRNA synthetases). tRNAs cope with the degeneracy of the genetic code in two manners: having more than one tRNA (with a specific anti-codon) for a particular amino acid; and 'wobble' base-pairing, i.e. permitting non-standard base-pairing at the 3rd anti-codon position.
Source: RNAcentral